UCUGCAUCUCGCUUGACCUUGUCAUUCAUUGUAUAGGGAGAAGUUCUCACUGUAUAAAAAGGAGUUUGGGCCCUGUGUCCAGCCACCAGUGUGCCAUCAGAGUCCAUACUGAAAUAGAAAUUCUUGGCCACUGCAGUAGCAAGAAAGGAAAGAAAUGCCAGGUUUUCUUGUCCUGACAUGACUGCAUGCUGUAACCUUCAUUCUCUGGUUUAAAUACUCCAAGAUCAUCAGAAACUUCAGUUUGAAUGAACCACGUAACUCUGAUAUGAUGAGAGAAUGUCUCAGUCUUCAUCUCCUGGAUAAGGAUCAGAUCUUCCAAAACUUGGGUGCCCCAGCCUGUCUCCUGCACAGCCACAUUUUUGGCAAUGCUCAGUAGUUGUUCAACUUGAAAGCUGUUGCUCAGGAAAAUAAAGGAUCCUGUUAAGCUGGGCAGGGAGAAGAGGAUGGCUGAAGCAGUGACUUGCCUUCUGAUGAGGCUUAUCCUUAUUACAGUGUGCUGCUGCGAGGAGAGGUGUGAGGCCAAGGUGUUUGCAGGUAGCACACUUCUGAGCGGAGUGAUUAAGCCCUGGCAAGAGACCAAAGAGCUGCUCUGGAUCAAUCAAAAAAACAAAA
Long non-coding RNA from Pezoporus occidentalis (night parrot), 612 nucleotides. RefSeq lists it as uncharacterized. The transcript is spliced from 3 exons. Lineage: Eukaryota; Metazoa; Chordata; Aves; Psittaciformes; Psittacidae. The record is from RefSeq and is a predicted model, not a curated record.